Molecule: long non-coding RNA, 299 nt
Organism: Nannospalax galili (Upper Galilee mountains blind mole rat)
Lineage: Eukaryota; Metazoa; Chordata; Mammalia; Rodentia; Spalacidae
Exons: 2
Source: RefSeq, a predicted model, not a curated record
GAGCGUGGGAAUUUUCUUGGGGUUCUUCCUGUGACUGCCCGAGUGCGUGGAAACUCUUCCCGGAAAGCACAUACAGCGUUAUCCAGUGAAUUUAGUGCUGGAGGUGAGAUCAUAUAUAGUUCCUGAACUAUCCUCUCUAUCAAAUGCAAAUCAUUGAGAUGAAGAUGCUUUAUCAAUAUCUCUCAUUUUCUUCAGAUCUUACCUGGAAAGCCAGUCUCAUCCUCAUGGAUUUACCUACUCUUCAACACUACAGCAGUGAUUCUGUGAAUGACUAAAUAAAUGGAUUUCUUUUUUAUUGA